This 243-nucleotide unclassified non-coding RNA is filed under the name Hevea brasiliensis (rubber tree). Lineage: Eukaryota; Viridiplantae; Streptophyta; Magnoliopsida; Malpighiales; Euphorbiaceae. The record is from RNAcentral.
UGGAGUUGUUUUGUGAAAACUCCACAAUUUGCCUCUUGAUUCAUGACAAACACUGAUCUCAUGGAUAAUAAAGCACAGCCAAUUGUGGAGUUUUCACAAAACAACUCCAGACCAAACUAACAAUUAUUCUCAAUUAAACAUGUCUGCUAGAAUUUGGAUGCUUAUGUUGAGCAAGAAUGAGCAAUUUCAUGUGUCAAUUUUGGUUCAAAAUCUUUGAAGUCAAGCAUCAGUCGCAAAUAAGCU